GAAUCUGGAACCUCCUGAAUGUCAGGCCUGUGCUCUACCAAUGAGCUAUACCCCAACCCACCCCUACUCUUAGGCCUAAUAGAGAUGGGAUUUUGAAUCUGUGUAAUUAAAGCGUCCGUGGACAGACUCUUCUAAGUGAGGAAAGAUGAUGGCCUGCCCGGCUCACACAUUACCUACAGACCACCAGGGCAGGGAGAUGCUUCAGCCUGGAAAGAGUUACCACGUGAUCCUUUCCUCUCACGCUGCUCGGCCGUCUCUUCCCAGUGAGGCCUAGGAACGCAGCCCUGCCGAUGGGGUCCGCUUUUACCAACUCUGUCCCGAAAUUUGGUUUGAAAUGUCCCCCCAUUGCCCUUUGUGCUUCUUUUUCUCUGUGCAACAGAUGUGCUUAAAUGUUAGCCAUGUCUUUGCCACCUGGACUCCAACCCAAUGUGAAGCGGGGAGAGGUGGAGACCGGAUGCUUAGCCACCGACAGCAGGACCGGUGGUGAUUCCGGUUAGCUGGCUGCAGCAGGUGGGGCUGGCCUCUGGGCACAAGGCAGCGUCCCUUCCUCUGCCAGCUCCAGUCUGUCCCAUGAGUUAGACAUUCAACCCAUGGAUUAUCAAGGAGGAGCUCUGCUUUCUUUAGCCUUCUGGGCUUCUGAUGCCAAUACAAACACACACCAUUUUCAGUAGCGGAGAUGGAGCAGCUGUCCAGAUUCCAGAGGGACAGGACGGAGAUGCUCCCAGAAGUUCAGGAAGAGGUAGAUUCGUCUUAAGGACACCCAGGCCUUAAAGCACCAGCUAAGAAUGCAGCCUUGGUUGUAAGAGGAAGCACAUCAAGGCAUCCACAUCACCAUCAUCAACACUGGUCCACUUCAAGACCAUAUAAACCCAGGCAAGGACUACUUGAAUGCCAUCAUUGUGAUACUAUGAUGGUUUCUCUUGACAGUUGAGGAGGCUACUAAGCGACUCAAAGAUAAUCGUGUGGAUAAGCAAGGCAAAGACGAUGCCUCCUGUCCCAGGGUUGGUGAAAUCUGUUGAUGCAAACUCACAGAUUCUGAAUACCGACUAUACAAAGGGAUCCUUUUACAUUCAUAGGGUGCCCAAGGAUCACCUUCAGUGAUCAAGAGCAAUGGGUCCCAGCGGCAUCGCUGAGUCACAUCGAAGUGACGUCGACAUUCACCUUCGUGCCCGUCUCUGCUUUAUACUUACUACAAUGCAAAUGUAAUUAAAAAGAAAAUAUGGUACUCUAAGACAGCAAACCAAACCAACCAAAGAAGCCAGCCAGUGCCUGCUAUCAGCAUUCUGAUCUGGGCUGCAAAAGACUGCCGGCUUUUCUACUCGUGGCCCACUCUACAGAGACUGUCCAGUGCCCUCUUACCCUGCUAUACCAUUUGGGCAUUGCUUGCUGUACUGCCCAGCACAGGCGAGGUGCUUCCAUGUGCAUUUCUUCUUAGCUUCCAUAUACAUAUACCCAGUAUGAAAGAGAUAGAAAAGUCUUAAAACCAUCCUAGGUUUAUCCACAGAUCCGGGAAAACAUCAGCCUAGACAUAUCCUGAAAUCUAUGCUCACCCUGAACACAUUCCUCAUCCUCUCAUCUGGUUGGGUAUAUUGAAUAGCCAGGAUGCUCAAAAUAUCUUCAUAAACCAGAUAUGGUAGUACACACCUACAAACCCAACACUAAGGAGGCAGAGGCAGGAUGAUCAACAGGCCAUUCUUGGCUACGUAGGGGACUCUCUAAAAACAAACAAACAACAAGAAUAGUCCCCCCAAAACCAAAAUUCCUAGUAGGUUCAAUGUGACAGGUCCCCAGCAGACCAGGCUAACUGACACGCC
Molecule: long non-coding RNA, 1814 nt
Organism: Alexandromys fortis (reed vole)
Lineage: Eukaryota; Metazoa; Chordata; Mammalia; Rodentia; Cricetidae
Exons: 3
Source: RefSeq, a predicted model, not a curated record